ACGCUGGCGGCAGGCCUAACACAUGCAAGUCGAGCGGUAGAGAGAAGCUUGCUUCUCUUGAGAGCGGCGGACGGGUGAGUAAUGCCUAGGAAUCUGCCUGGUAGUGGGGGAUAACGUUCGGAAACGGACGCUAAUACCGCAUACGUCCUACGGGAGAAAGCAGGGGACCUUCGGGCCUUGCGCUAUCAGAUGAGCCUAGGUCGGAUUAGCUAGUUGGUGGGGUAAUGGCUCACCAAGGCGACGAUCCGUAACUGGUCUGAGAGGAUGAUCAGUCACACUGGAACUGAGACACGGUCCAGACUCCUACGGGAGGCAGCAGUGGGGAAUAUUGGACAAUGGGCGAAAGCCUGAUCCAGCCAUGCCGCGUGUGUGGAGAAGGUCUUCGGAUUGUAAAGCACUUUAAGUUGGGAGGAAGGGCAGUAAAUUAAUACUUUGCUGUUUUGACGUUACCGACAGAAUAAGCACCGGCUAACUCUGUGCCAGCAGCCGCGGUAAUACAGAGGGUGCAAGCGUUAAUCGGAAUUACUGGGCGUAAAGCGCGCGUAGGUGGUUCGUUAAGUUGGAUGUGAAAUCCCCGGGCUCAACCUGGGAACUGCAUUCAAAACUGACGAGCUAGAGUAUGGUAGAGGGUGGUGGAAUUUCCUGUGUAGCGGUGAAAUGCGUAGAUAUAGGAAGGAACACCAGUGGCGAAGGCGACCACCUGGACUGAUACUGACACUGAGGUGCGAAAGCGUGGGGAGCAAAC
This 745-nucleotide ribosomal RNA is filed under the name uncultured bacterium. RNAcentral's name for it is "bacterial SSU rRNA". It matches the Rfam family "Bacterial small subunit ribosomal RNA", at positions 33 to 773 of the family's 1533-position model. The record is from RNAcentral.